GGUCCUACGGGACGCAGCAGUGGGGGAUAUUGCACAAUGGGGGAAACCCUGAUGCAGCGACGCCGCGUGAGUGAAGAAGUAUUUCGGUACGUAAAGCUCUAUCAGCAGGGAAGAAAAAAAGUCCACAGGACUUUGGACGGUACCUGACUAAGAAGCCCCGGCUAACUACGUGCCAGCAGCCGCGGUAAUACGUAGGGGGCAAGCGUUAUCCGGAUUUACUGGGUGUAAAGGGAGCGUAGACGGCUGUGCAAGUCUGGAGUGAAAUGCCGGGGCCCAACCCCGGAACUGCUUUGGAAACUGUACAG
This 305-nucleotide ribosomal RNA is filed under the name uncultured bacterium. Its description in RNAcentral is "bacterial SSU rRNA". It matches the Rfam family "Bacterial small subunit ribosomal RNA", at positions 335 to 640 of the family's 1533-position model. The record is from RNAcentral.